Molecule: non-coding RNA, 3174 nt
Organism: Cyanistes caeruleus (blue tit)
Lineage: Eukaryota; Metazoa; Chordata; Aves; Passeriformes; Paridae
Source: RefSeq, a predicted model, not a curated record
GGUAGCGGCGUUCCCGCUGCGGUGCUGAGUGCAGCGGGUCCUCGGCCACACCUCCGGUCCUGUGGCCGCUUCUGAGCCCCGCGGGGCCGCAGGGACGCUGAGGGCUGGGGGUCGUCAGGCUCGACAAGGGUCGUCGAACGGGACGCCCACAGAAGUUCUGGAACCACCGUCCCUGGAAGUGGAAAAGACGUGUGGAUGUGACAUUUUGGGGCAGGGUUUAGUAGUGGGCUUGGCAGUGCUGGGUUAAUGCUUGAAUUCAAUGAUCUUCGAGGUCUUUUCCAGCCUUAAUGACUCUAUGAUUGAAAUUGUGGUUCUUCCCCUUCUGAAGCACACUUCCACGAUUGUGCUUCUCUCUGUCUGAUGGAAGCAUUUCUGAUGGAAAGAAAUGCUUAACCAUGGAUCUCCUUUUAUACACUCAUUUCCCACUUGGGCACUGAUGCUUGGGCACACUCACUGGGGGUUUCCACAUGAAAAAACUCGAUUUAACAUCUCAAAAAGCAGUCUUGUUUGGCAUGUAUUGGUUUCCUACUCCUCUCCCUAAGGAAUGUAGUCCAUACCAACAGUGAAACCAUAUUUUGCUGCAUACUUGGAGGAGGAGGUAAUUCUGCUUGUCUUGGGUGUAAAAUAAAGCAUUAUUCUCUUAUAUAUGCACUGUUUUCCAGGUAGUGAGGGAAAUUACCCUCUCAAGGGGAAAGGAAUUUGAAGCUUUGCUUAAAUGUUUUGAGAGCAUUUGAUAGAAAGUGACAUUUGAAACACCAAGUAUUACCAUUAAAUUUUAUAGCUCAGAACUCUUAUUGGGCCAUAUCCUAAAGGUUUAACUCAAACUCUUGUUUUUAGACUCACCAGAGUCUGGAAUCUAAACUGAAGGCUACUGACAUCAAACACUAAGGGAAUUUGGUUUGCUUUUCAGGAACAUUGAACUCCUUGCAGUGUAGGGUCUCUGGAGACCUUAAAAGGCAAAAAUUCUGCUUUGGGGCUUUUGACCACUUGUUCUGAUGUCUGGCCUAUUGUAAUUGUACUUGAUUUUUACCUUCCCCAACACUGAUGCUUCUUUCCAAAUGGUUAAUUCAAGGACAAACAGUUUUUAGCUGUGAGCAGGAGCUUUAGUUCAAGAGUCAUUCUUGAUACUGGGGUUAUUUAUAUGAAUCCACACUGCCAAUAACCUCUUCCCCUGAGGUAAGAGUUUACUACAGAUAAUCAGCAAGAUUAAAUACUAACAAAAAUUAUUAUGAACCCAUAUAUGACUGCAAUGAUUUUUUUUUUCACAAUAUUUACUGAAUAACUUGCCUGGGAAGUGGGUCUUAGUUUGACUCUCAUGGUUGAUUCUAAGCCUUCUCUUACCCAUACCCCUGAGACUCUGGUUAAUUUUGUGGCACAAAAUAUUUAAUUAUGUGCUCUGCCAAGUGAAUACAAGGUCUCAAAUUGAAUUUCAGCGUCCCUGGGCAACUAUUUUAGACACUUUGGUAGAAUGUAAAUGCAUAUUUUCUGCAUGCCAGAUCUUGGCUGCAUAUCCAUCAAAGUAAAUCCUCACUGGUUCCACUGAAGGCUUGGAACAAUCUUAAAUUAUGUUGUUGAGGUCACAUUGUGACCCUGAAGCUUUGGCAGAGACCCAAACCAAGAAAUUUGUGUGGGAAACUGGGGAGGGAAUAAAUUAGCACUUGCCUAUGCUUUUUGUGGAAGUAAACUGUUACAAAGGUGUGAGUUAAGAUGAAAGCUCCUCAUGGUGGUGGAUAUUGCUUUCCAGCUGUUUCUGCUGGAAACAGCUCAGUGUGUCUGUAUGGGAUGGGUCCUUAUUUUCUGACGGUGCUCUGCCUCAAAUAAUAACCAGUUUUGCAUUUCCAUCCUCCCCACUGUGCCUUCCUCCUCACCCCCUCUAAACAAAUAUCGCUUCAUCUUAUAGAAUGAAAGUCCAGGGGUAGGUUCUAGUCUGGGUAGUUUUUUUUUCCUCUGGUAAAUUUAAUCCUUCAUUUUCUCUCUCUGCCAAAUGCAAGUGGCAGGUCUAAACAGUAUUAGGUAAUUGUGGUUGUCAUGCUGCAGAUUGCACUGUGGAAAAAAAUUAAUUGCUGUUUUUUCGCCCAGGGGUUUGAGCCGUGGUCCCUUCGUCUGCCUGGAACAGCGUAGUUUCCCUCCCCGUUGGGGCUGUGUUCUGUGGAGCAGCAUGAAAGGGCUCCUGUGCAGCUGCUCUGGACUUGAUGAAGGGCAAUCCAAACAAGAGCUGGCUUGCAUUCACAGGUCUUUUACAGAGUGGUGCGAGGCUCAUGAGGGAGUGCAUUUACCAGUGACAGCUUUUAACCAUGGACACAUCCUCACUGUUCCUCAGCCAGCUGCUGGCCAAAGCUUUCCCUUCUGGAGGACAGCAAGCAUCCAGGAUCAUUUCCACUGCAUCUUCUGCCAUAUUGUGAUGGGAAGGAGAGACAGUAAAGGGUAUGAUGAAAAAAGUACAUGGAGCCAUUUUUGCUGUGGGAACAAAGAUUUUCGCUCCCUGGGCUGAAGAUGGUCUCUAGCUGAGAGUGAGAACUGGCAUAACCUGCUGGAUGUAUGGUAUGAAGAUUCCUCUUGUCCCAAGGAAAUGGUUCUGCUUUUCAGAAACUGUGGUAUUUUGGAGCAUGCCCAGGAAAGAGCAGCACAAAGAGCCAGAAAGUAUGAACAGUGAGGCAGCCCAAAGGCACGCAUAGAAAUUGUGAGUGCACUGAAUGUGUUGUUCCAUCUAGAGAGGAAAGGAAAAUGAGAAGUUUCAAAGGCUUAAGAGAUUGAUGCAGUGAGGAGUGUGAUGGGCAAGUGUUCCAUGUCCAUCGUGUCCAUGACCAGGGGUGAGUGGCUCAGUGUUCCACAAGAGAGAUGUAGCUUCUUGCUGGGAAGCACAUACGCUCCAGCAGAACACAGACAACAUGUGGACAGCAGGAUAUGGUCACAGGGAGAGGCUGUGAAGGGCAGCCUGCUGCUCAAACACGCCAUGCAUUGGCACUGCUGCUGAGCAGCAGGCUGCAAAAGAUUGCUGGGAGAUCUGCUUUUUAGUCUGUGCUGGUUUAGAAAAGGCUGAUAUGCUUUACCUACUCAUUUUUGUCAGGCUCUUCCACUUAGAGAAAACACUCAGGCCUAUAAAUCAAUAACAACUUGACAGUUACUGGCAAAACUGGAAAAUCUGGCUGCUUUUGGGAAUAGCCAGGACUUUAG